AUUGAACGCUGGCGGCAGGCCUAACACAUGCAAGUCGAGCGGCAGCGGGAAAGUAGCUUGCUACUUUUGCCGGCGAGCGGCGGACGGGUGAGUAAUGCCUGGGAAAUUGCCCAGUCGAGGGGGAUAACAGUUGGAAACGACUGCUAAUACCGCAUACGCCCUACGGGGGAAAGCAGGGGACCUUCGGGCCUUGCGCGAUUGGAUAUGCCCAGGUGGGAUUAGCUAGUUGGUGAGGUAAUGGCUCACCAAGGCGACGAUCCCUAGCUGGUCUGGGAGGAUGAUCAGACAAACUGGAACUGAGACACGGUCCAGACUCCUACGGGAGGCAGCAGUGGGGAAUAUUGCACAAUGGGGGAAACCCUGAUGCAGCCAUGCCGCGUGUGUGAAGAAGGCCUUCGGGUUGUAAAGCACUUUCAGCGAGGAGGAAAGGUUGAUGCCUAAUACGUAUCAACUGUGACGUUACUCGCAGAAGAAGCACCGGCUAACUCCGUGCCAGCAGCCGCCGUAA
Molecule: ribosomal RNA, 508 nt
Filed under: uncultured bacterium
Lineage: Bacteria
Description: partial 16S ribosomal RNA
Rfam family: Bacterial small subunit ribosomal RNA
Source: RNAcentral